CAGUAGCCGCGGUAAUACGAAGGGUGCAAGCGUUAAUCGGAAUUACUGGGCGUAAAGCGUGCGUAGGCGGUUUGUUAAGUCUGCUGUGAAAUCCCCGGGCUCAACCUGGGAAUGGCAGUGGAUACUGGCUCGCUAGAGUGUGUCAGAGGAUGGUGGAAUUCCCAGUGUAGAGGUGAAAUUCGUAGAUAUUGGGAAGAACACCGGUGGCGAAGGCGGCAACCUGGCUCAUUACUGACGCUGAGGCGCGAAAGCGUGGGGAGCAAACAGGAUUAGAUACCCCUGUAGUCCCUGUCUCUUAUAC
Molecule: ribosomal RNA, 301 nt
Filed under: uncultured bacterium
Lineage: Bacteria
Description: partial 16S ribosomal RNA
Rfam family: Bacterial small subunit ribosomal RNA
Source: RNAcentral